Molecule: long non-coding RNA, 100 nt
Organism: Populus euphratica (Euphrates poplar)
Lineage: Eukaryota; Viridiplantae; Streptophyta; Magnoliopsida; Malpighiales; Salicaceae
Exons: 3
Source: RefSeq, a predicted model, not a curated record
UCCUUACACUACAGUUGGAAGCUCUUUAGUUCAUGAUAGGAACACAUCAACCUAAAUAAGAUAGCUAAUGUUCUCAACAAGAACAUACUAAACUUAGAUU